UAAAUUGAAGCACAAAUUGUGUAUUUAACUGUUAAUUAAAAGGAUUUUCUUAAGAAACAAUUUAA
This 65-nucleotide transfer RNA is filed under the name Gyraulus laevis. RNAcentral's name for it is "tRNA-Asn". Lineage: Eukaryota; Metazoa; Mollusca; Gastropoda; Planorbidae. The record is from RNAcentral.